GGGGCCGUAGCUCAGUUGGGAGAGCGCCUGCUUUGCAAGCAGGAAGUCGGGGGUUCGAGUCCCCCCGGCUCCACCA
Molecule: transfer RNA, 76 nt
Filed under: Dehalococcoidia bacterium
Lineage: Bacteria; Bacillati; Chloroflexota; Dehalococcoidia
Description: tRNA-Ala
Rfam family: tRNA
About the family: Transfer RNA (tRNA) molecules are approximately 80 nucleotides in length. Their secondary structure includes four short double-helical elements and three loops (D, anti-codon, and T loops). Further hydrogen bonds mediate the characteristic L-shaped molecular structure. tRNAs have two regions of fundamental functional importance: the anti-codon, which is responsible for specific mRNA codon recognition, and the 3' end, to which the tRNAs corresponding amino acid is attached (by aminoacyl-tRNA synthetases). tRNAs cope with the degeneracy of the genetic code in two manners: having more than one tRNA (with a specific anti-codon) for a particular amino acid; and 'wobble' base-pairing, i.e. permitting non-standard base-pairing at the 3rd anti-codon position.
Source: RNAcentral